This 460-nucleotide ribosomal RNA is filed under the name uncultured Capnocytophaga sp. RNAcentral describes it as "bacterial SSU rRNA". It matches the Rfam family "Bacterial small subunit ribosomal RNA", at positions 338 to 795 of the family's 1533-position model. The record is from RNAcentral. Lineage: Bacteria; Pseudomonadati; Bacteroidota; Flavobacteriia; Flavobacteriales; Flavobacteriaceae.
CCUACGGGGGGCUGCAGUGAGGAAUAUUGGACAAUGGUCGGAAGACUGAUCCAGCCAUGCCGCGUGCAGGAUGACGGCCUUAUGGGUUGUAAACUGCUUUUGUAAGGGAAGAAUAAGGAGUACGUGUACUUUGAUUACGGUACCUUAUGAAUAAGCAUCGGCUAACUCCGUGCCAGCAGCCGCGGUAAUACGGAGGAUGCGAGCGUUAUCCGGAAUCAUUGGGUUUAAAGGGGCUGUAGGCGGGCUGGUAAGUCAGAGGUGAAAGCGCUUAGCUCAACUGAGCAACUGCCUUUGAAACUGUUGGUCUUGAAUGGUUGUGAAGUAGUUGGAAUGUGUAGUGUAGCGGUGAAAUACUUAGAUAUUACACAGAACACCGAUAGCGAAGGCAGAUUACUAACGAUUGAUUGACGCUGAUGGACGAAAGCGUGGGGAGCGAACAGGAUUAGAUACCCCGGUAGUC